AGAGUUUGAUUCUGGCUCAGAACGAACGCUGGCGGCGUGGAUAAGACAUGCAAGUCGAGCGAGAUAAGUUUUGUAGCAAUACAGAGCUUGUUUAACGGCGAACGGGUGCGUAACACGUGAGAACCUGCCCAAAAGAGGGGGAUAGCCCGCCGAAAGGCGGAUUAAUACCGCAUAUUAACAAAGCAGCAAUGCGCUUUUGGAUGGGCUCGCGGCCUAUCAGCUAGAUGGUGAGGUAACGGCUCACCAUGGCUAUGACGGGUAGCUGGUCUGAGAGGACGACCAGCCACACUGGGACUGAGACACGGCCCAGACACCUACGGGUGGCAGCAGUCGAGAAUUUUUCACAAUGGGGGAAACCCUGAUGGAGCGACGCCGCGUGGAGGAUGAAGGUUUUCGGAUUGUAAACUCCUGUCAUGAGAGAACAAAACCCGCAAGGGCUUGAUAGUAUCUCAAGAGGAAGGGACGGCUAACUCUGUGCCAGCAGCCGCGGUAAUACAGAGGUCCCAAGCGUUGUUCGGAUUCACUGGGCGUAAAGGGUGCGUAGGUGGCGGGGUAAGUUGCGUGUUAAAUCUCAAGGCUCAACCUUGAAACCGCUCGCAAUACUGCUCUGCUCGAGGACUGUAGAGGAGAAUGGAAUUCACGGUGUAGCAGUGAAAUGCGUAGAUAUCGUGAGGAAGACCAGUGGCGAAGGCGAUUCUCUGGGCAGUUCCUGACACUGAGGCACGAAGGCCAGGGGAGCAAACGGGAUUAGAUACCCCGGUAGUCCUGGCAGUAAACGGUGCACGUUUGGUGUGGGAGGAUUCGACCCCUUCCGUGCCGUAGCUAACGCGUUAAACGUGCCGCCUGAGGAGUACGGUCGCAAGAUUAAGACUCAAAGAAAUUGACGGGGGCCCGCACAAGCGGUGGAGUAUGUGGCUUAAUUCGAUGCAACGCGAAGAACCUUACCUGGCCUUGACAUGCAUUGUGUCUACGGUGAAAGCCGUAUAGUCCGUAGCAAUACGGACGCUUUGCACAGGUGCUGCAUGGCUGUCGUCAGCUCGUGUCGUGAGAUGUUGGGUUAAGUCCCGCAACGAGCGCAACCCCUAUGAUCUGUUGCCAUUCCGCAAGGAGGCACUCUGAUCAGACUGCCCUGUGAAACGGGGAGGAAGGUGGGGAUGACGUCAAGUCAGUAUGGCCCUUACGGCCAGGGCUGCACACGUACUACAAUGCCCACUACAGAAUGAACCAAAACCGCGAGGUGGAGGAAAUCCCUAAAAGUGGGCUCAGUUCGGAUCGUAGGCUGCAAUUCGCCUACGUGAAGCUGGAAUCGCUAGUAAUGGCGCAUCAGCUACGGCGCCGUGAAUACGUUCCCGGGCCUUGUACACACCGCCCGUCACAUCAUGGAAAUCGUUUGCACCCGAAGUCCGCCCGCUAACCGCAAGGAGGCAGCGUUCGAAGGUAUGAGCGGUAACUGGGAUGAAGUCGUAACAAGGUAGCCGUAGGGGAACCUGCGGCUG
This 1496-nucleotide ribosomal RNA is filed under the name metagenome. Its description in RNAcentral is "bacterial SSU rRNA". It matches the Rfam family "Bacterial small subunit ribosomal RNA". The record is from RNAcentral.